RNAcentral lists this long non-coding RNA (709 nucleotides) under Oryza brachyantha (malo sina). RNAcentral's name for it is "long non-coding RNA (OBRA_LNC003369)". The record is from RNAcentral. Lineage: Eukaryota; Viridiplantae; Streptophyta; Magnoliopsida; Poales; Poaceae.
UCGUCUAAUCUUGGUUGUACGGGUAACUCAUCUAGAUAAAUCAAUCUAUGCACUAAUUCGGCCAGCUUCCAGUAAAACGUGACGGUGUCGCAAUACAAAUAGACCUGUGUUAUUCAUUAGAGAAUACAAUAUAUAGCUCCUGAGACUAAACCAAAAUUUAUUGGUACCAUCGAUCUGACACGAAAUAAAAACAAGAGAUUUGUUGCAUCAUCGAUAUUCCUCUGACACGUACGUACAGCACAGCGCAAGGAGGAACGGACAUUUCCAGAACUCGUAGCGCAGCUAGAUGGCUAGCACGUACACCUAACGUGGGCCGCGGGGUGGACGUCGUGUCACCUUCUCGACCGAUUGUCUCAUCGCAAAACAAACCAAUGCACCACGCGGCAGCGCGUGGAAAUCAACCCAACACCUGCCGCUCUACGUGUACCUGCACGUACCCCCCACCCCCUCUCGUGUAAAAUAAAAAAAAAAGAAAAAAACCCAGCUUAUUAUUAGCUUGUCGAUCGAUCUUACCGUGAAAGCAACGACUCCAUCCAUCGAUCGUUCCUCUCGUUGUUUCCACCGAACGCGAAGCAUGGCGAAGAGCGGCGCGGAGGAGUGGCGGCGCAACGCCGACACGCACAAGAUGAGCGCCGAGGAGGUGCGGGCGGCCGGGGUGGAGGCGUCCAUGCGCCCGCCGGGGCGAGGCACCGGCACCGGCGAGGUGCNN